AAGCCAUGGCCAGUGCAAGUACGAGUCGGGUGCGGGCAACGCAACGACGACACUGCGAAUGGCUCAUUAAAUCAGUCGUGGUCUACAUGGUCGUGCGGCGACAAGUGUCGUCAACAGUGGAUAACUGUGGAAAUGCUAGAGCUAAUACAUGCAAUCGAGCGCCGACUUCGGGAGGCGUGCAUUUAUCAGACCGCGCGUCGGCCGGUCGGCAUUCGUGUCGGCCGUCGAUGGUGGUGAAUCUGGAUAACUAUUCGUGCAGAUCGCCGAUCCAUCGAGAUCGGGCGACGAACCGUUCGAACGUCUGACCUAUCAACUGUUGUCGGUAAGGUAACGGCCUACCGAGGUGUUAACGGGUAACGGGGAAUCGGGGUUCGAUUCCGGAGAGGGAGCCCGAGAAACGGGCUGCCACUUCCAAGGAAGGCAGCAGGCGCGCAAAUUACCCAUUUCAGACUCUGAGAGGUAGUGACGAGAAAUAACGAUGCCGGGCCUUAACGGGCGCCGACAAUCGAAAUGAGCGCAGCUCAAAAAACUGAAUGACGUGCUUCGGCUUCGGUCGAAAAUCUAUGUCGUGCGAGUAUCGAUCGGAGGGCAAGUCUGGUGCCAGCAGCCGCGGUAAUUCCAGCUCCGAAAGCGUAUGCUUACGUUGUUGCGGUUGAAAAGCUCGUAUUCGGAAUAAAGCUUUUCGCCGCUAGUGCCAAGGCCGCAAGGCCGCGGCACGAUCGAAACGAAAGAGAUGGUGCAAAAACACAAUCAAAGGCGGACGGCCGGCGUGGCUCGGAAUCGCGUUUCGGCGCGACGACAAGUUGCACGUCGAGAGUCGGUUCGCAGGUUGCCCUGAAGAAAUUGAAGCGAUCAGGGCAGGUCGAUGAUGUCGACCGAGAACAGUCGUGCAUGGUACAACGAAAGACGGCCGCGGCUCCGCCGCCGGCGUCGAGACAAUUGCGCGUGGCAAUGAUUGAGAGGAACGGACGGGGGCAUUCGUACUGUACCGGGAGGGGUGAAAUCCGUGGAUCGGUGCAAGACGACCAGAAGCGAAAGCGAUUGCCCAGGACGUUUUCCUUGAUCAAGAGCGAAAGUCGGAGGUUCGAAGACGAUCAGAUACCGUCGUAGUUCCGACCGUAAACGAUGCCGACCGUGUGGUCGCCCACGUAUUCGAAGAUCGAAGUCCCUCGUCAGCCGAAGGCCGCAAGUCGGUCGAGGCGCGAGAACGGAGAUCGGGCAUGUCGGGGUGGCCGUGCCGGGAGGGAAACCGGAGUCUUCGGGUUCCGGGGGAAGUAUGGUUGCAAAGCUGAAACUUGAAGGAAUUGACGGAAGGGCACCACCAGGAGUGGAGCCUGCGGCUUAAUUUGACUCAACGCGGGAAAACUCACCCGGCCCGGACGUUACGAGGAUUGACAGAUUGAAAGCUCUUUCUCGAUUUGGCGGAUGGUGGUGCAUGGCCGUUCUUAGUUCGUGGAACGAUUCGUCUGGUCGAUUCCGAUAACGAACGAGACUCGAAUUUACUCAUGUAUGCGGCUCGAUCGAGAACGAAGAUCGAGUCGCGUCUCGGGCGCCAGGAGUGUGCUCGAGACGCAAUGCAAUAUUCUCAGAUGAACCGGCGGCGGUAAGCCGCACGAGAUCGAGCGAUAACAGGUCUGUGAUGCCCUUCGAUGUUCGGGGCCGCACGCGUGCUACAAUGGUCGGAGCAGCAAGAGGACCGAACGAGCAACCGAUGUUGCAUCUUCCGCGUUCGCGCGUGAAGAUGGUCCGCGGGCCGAGAGGCUCGUGAAACCAAACGAAACC
This 1782-nucleotide ribosomal RNA is filed under the name Didemnum albidum. RNAcentral's name for it is "bacterial SSU rRNA". It matches the Rfam family "Eukaryotic small subunit ribosomal RNA", at positions 46 to 1561 of the family's 1831-position model. Lineage: Eukaryota; Metazoa; Chordata; Ascidiacea; Aplousobranchia; Didemnidae. The record is from RNAcentral.